This 495-nucleotide ribosomal RNA is filed under the name uncultured bacterium. Its description in RNAcentral is "bacterial SSU rRNA". It matches the Rfam family "Bacterial small subunit ribosomal RNA", at positions 8 to 518 of the family's 1533-position model. The record is from RNAcentral.
AGAGUUGAUCAUGGCUCAGGACGAACGCUGGCGGCGUGCCUAACACAUGCAAGUCGAGCGAUGAAGUCUUCGGAGCGGAUAGCGGCGGACGGGUGAGUAACACGUGGGUAACCUGCCUUGUAGAGGGGGAUAGCCUUCCGAAAGGAAGAUUAAUACCGCAUAACAUCUUUUUAUCGCAUGGUAGAAAGAUCAAAGGAGCAAUCCCGCUACAAGAUGGACCCGCGGCGCAUUAGCUAGUUGGUGAGGUAACGGCUCACCAAGGCGACGAUGCGUAGCCGACCUGAGAGGGUGAUCGGCCACAUUGGAACUGAGACACGGUCCAGACUCCUACGGGAGGCAGCAGUGGGGAAAUAUUGCGCAAUUAGGGGGGAAAACCCCGACGCAGCAACGCCGCGUGAAUGAAGAAGGCCUUAGGGUUGUAAAAGUUCUGUUUACGGGGACGAUAAUGACGGUACCCGUGGAGGAAGCCACGGCUAACUACGUGCCAGCAGCGGC